This is a long non-coding RNA of Mobula hypostoma (lesser devil ray), 2390 nucleotides long. RefSeq lists it as uncharacterized. The transcript is spliced from 5 exons. Lineage: Eukaryota; Metazoa; Chordata; Chondrichthyes; Myliobatiformes; Myliobatidae. The record is from RefSeq and is a predicted model, not a curated record.
UGGGAGAUUUAUUUUUCAGCCGGAGGUACUGAUCGAGGUGUAGGUGUAUGAGAUGCACCGCCGAAUUUGCCACCAUAAAGUGAAUGGUUAGAUGACCGCAUCAAAAUACCAGGUCCAGGAAGGUUGUGGGACUCGGCGUGAAAAUUGGGAUUCACGAGACUCGUAAGGACUUUAACCCACGUGUUUUAUUGGCUGUAAAUCCACUUGUAUGGAGAAAUAUUUACUUAUGGGAGAAAAAAAUAAUCAGACAAGAGUAUCGCAGGAAUGGUUAUGGCCAGAAUUCUUCACAGUCAGUUUGCCUGCUAUAAAAUUUCUUGCCUGGGGAGAUGGCGAUGCAGAGAAUUAAGUGAUCGGAUUUAGAGGCAAAUCAAAACGGAUUUUCACCAAUCAAUUCAAGCAAUCCUCCCGACCAAUUUGUUCAUAUCACGGACACAGACCCCAGUUUUGUCACGCACCCCGUGACGGGAAUAAGGAACCAGCAGAGAUGGAAAACACUUUGGAGUCCGGAGAGGAAGAACAGCCCAGCGCCAGAGAAAGUGCUCCUAGACACCGGCAAAUGCAUUCGUCUGGAAGUCUCCCGCGGUAAAUAGCCGUUGCACCUCCGUUGAUUCUCCAAUCUCUGCCGGUCAAGGGGACUCACAGGAAUGAAGAGACAACGAACAAGCGCUGGGAAGGUCAACCCCGCCAUCCCGAGAGAUGAGCGCCAGUGUCUCUUACACUCUGAGACUGAGCCGUACUUCAUGGUCUUAGCAUCAGAUAAUUGGAUAUCAUCUCAAUCAGAGAAUCGAAAUUUUACUCAAAGAAUGAUCAACUGUUGGAAAAUGUUCCAUUUCCUCAAAAAAUGGUCAAUUAUUGCAAACUGUUCUACAAUUAUCUGCCACAGUAAUUGAAAUAUGAAUUAAAGAGUCUUAUGUCCUGGUGGAAAAGACAGCCCCGGAACCUGUUGGUCGUUUAUUUUAUGCUGCGGUAAUUCACGCCAGGGAAUGAAUCACAGACGUUGUUUUGUUUUCCCGGUAUUUGUUUCAUCGUUAACAAUUGUGAAAUUCCAUGAAGUUCCAUGAGACGGCAGGAAUCUGAAAUUCCUCUACAGGUCAGACGUGACGGAGAGGACUGUGUGCAUGACUUUAUUUGUAGGGAUAUUACUACUGGGAUAUCUGAGGGAGAAGAUCUGCCAUCGUUUGGAGAGCGGAGGCCUGUUCAGGUAUAUUUAUCACGACUGUGUAUGUGGGUGGUAAUUUAAUUCGAAUCUUUUGGAGAAUUUUUACAUGGGUAUUGGUAACGAAAGGGAUGUAUGAAGUCAGUUCAGUGCAAUUUAAUAAGGCCAUUGACAACUCCCACACGGCAGACUGUUCCGAAAGUUUAUGUACUCUGGGAUUCAUGGCAAGGAAGGAGUUGGACUCAGAAUUGGCUCAGUGAUAGGGGGUGAUGACGGAGGGGUAUUCUAAGACAGGAAGCCUGUGACGAAUUGGAUGCCUCAGGAUCAGUUGGGAUCUCUGUAAUUCCUCGUUUAUCUUGAUCACAUCGACGUCAAUGUAAAUAGCUCAGUUAGUAAGUUGAGUGACGACACUACAUUAGUCUUGUUUAGGCUGAAUCACGUAACAUUCAAUGACAUGGAAAUUUAAUCUAAUAGGGAGACAUUCCGAGGAAUUAAAAAUAUGUGCCAAAGUGAUUCAUGUGAUGUGAUAUAUUUUGCGCAUUCGCACCAGGGUUCAAACAAUACAGUGAAUGACAGGAAAAUGCCGAGCGUUGUGAACAUAUAUAAGAGCAUAAGAAAUAGGAGCAGGAGUUGGCCAUCCUGCCCAUCCAGCAUGCCCCGCCAUUCGAUAGGUUCAUGGCUAAUCUGUCGGCAAACUCAGCGCCCUGUGCAUACCUUUUCCCAAUAAUCCAUAAUUCCCUUUCUAUGUAAAAACCGGUUUUACUGUAUCUUAAAUACAGUUAGUGAGCAAGUCUCAACUGCUUCCCUGGACACAGAAUUCCACAGAUUAACCACUCUCCGGGAAAAAACAAUUUCUCCUCAUCUCCGUCCUAAAUCUUCCUCCCUGAAUCUUGUGGCAAUGUCCCCUAGUUCUCUCUGAGCUACCAAUGGAAAUGGCUUUCCCAUUUCUAUCUUAUCUAUACAUUUCAAAAUGGUAAAAUUGUCUGAUAAAGAGACAAGUGAACUUUCGCCAAUCCACGCCUGCUGACUGUGUUACCGAUUUCAUCAGGCCCCGUGAGAAUGAAUGUGGCCUUCGCUGAGGACAAGAUCCGCAUUACUCAGGACUGGUGAUCUGGAACUAUACAACAAGGUCAGGAACGACUUACGGAAAGUAAUAAAAGAGCGAGAAACAACAGUAUGGUGUCCGAGGCUUCCGACAAAUGCAAGUAAUCUUCUGGGUAAGCAUGAGUGAAUG